GGUUUCCCAGACACUAUGGGUUGAGGAGGAAUUGGAAGUUUGUCGGCUUAGACCUGGUGUCAUUCCAUCAGUGUUAAACUUCCCGGCUCAUCCUGGAAGAGUACGUGCCAGAAAGACCACGACCAAGCAGCCUUGAGAUCUUAGGCAGCGUCUCCCUGAGGUCCCUCUCUAUCUCCCUACACAUCCACCAACCACUGGAACACAUCUCCAAAGUUCUGCCAGGCCAGCUCAGCUUCCCCUCAGAAGAAGUGCUGCCACCUGCCAGAUGAAGGAGCCUUUUGAGAGGCAGCUGGCAUCGUGAUUGGACUGUACUUUGGUCUGUUCCAAUCCAGCUUCAGCUCCAGAGACGGCAGGCGGGACGAGUCAACGGAGGCCGGGUGGACGAAGGCAUGCAGCUGAGUACAAUCCAGAAAACAACAGAGGAAGAGUGCAGCUGCCCAGGACCAGAACAGAGUAGCAUGACCAAAGAAGUACAGACUCUUCACAACCUGCUCAAACUCUUCGUACAAGACCUCACCACACGGGUCAAGAAGGUUUCCAUCUCAUUUCUACUCUGAAGCUCACCUUCUCCUGCUCAAACUGCUGACAAAUGUUUCUGCUGCUCUAAAGUCUGGUCUCCAGAACUUCCUAAAAACUCUCAAAGUCUCUUCUGCUGCAGGUUGCUUUGUAGAACUGUUCCAGAAAACCUCACUAAACCACAUGGAGGGGCCUCAAGAUAGUCGUCCAAAUGAAACCAUACAAAAACCAAACUAGCACAACCUAAACGCUAAAGUCUCCUGCAGCCUACCAGAGAACCUCUGAGAACAGAGAAUCAGGACAGGAACUCUUACCUUCUGGACAACCAAGAAUACAGAAUGUGUCUGACCAAAAACCUCUAAAGACUCACUACAGCCAAGAUAAGACACAACUCAGCUGCACCAAAUCCACUAAUCACUGCACACAUUAGCACCAUGUGCCAACUGUGGCUAAAGAACCACAUUUAC
Amphiprion ocellaris (clown anemonefish) is the source of this 983-nucleotide long non-coding RNA. NCBI's taxonomy places the organism in Eukaryota, Metazoa, Chordata, Actinopteri, Pomacentridae. The record is from Ensembl.